UACGUAGGGGGCUAGCGUUGUCCGGAUUUAUUGGGCGUAAAGAGCGUGUAGGCGGCCAGAUAGGUCUGCUGUGAAAACUCGAGGCUCAACCUCGAGAUGUCGGCGGAAACCAUUUGGCUAGAGUCCGGAAGAGGAAAGUGGAAUUCCUGGUGUAGCGGUGAAAUGCGCAGAUAUCAGGAGGAACACCGGUGGCGAAGGCGGAUCUCUGGGCCUGUCCUGACGCUCAGGCGCGAAAGCUAGGGGAGCAAACAGG
This 253-nucleotide ribosomal RNA is filed under the name uncultured bacterium. RNAcentral describes it as "partial 16S ribosomal RNA". It matches the Rfam family "Bacterial small subunit ribosomal RNA", at positions 524 to 776 of the family's 1533-position model. The record is from RNAcentral.